CGACAAUAAACAAUACCAAUUGCAUGAACAGCGACAACAAGUGAAUGGCAAAAUAUAAACAAUAUAAAGCAAUGCAAUGAUGCCGCAUUCCAUUUGCACUCUAUACAAAUAUAUACGUGGGAAUACUUUACUAUGUAGCUUAAGUCGUAAUCAUGUUGCAAUAUGGCCACUUAAAAUGAUGGACCCAACCGAGUGGACAACUUGUUUUUGUUUGUUUCGCUCGCCUCACAUUAAUAACUAUGUAAUUAAUUGCGCAUACGCCACGUAUGCCGCAUGCAAUUGCUUCGCUCUGGCUCAGGCAAAUACUCGCAUCCUUCGCUGCUUUUCAAUGCAACGCAAAAGGGUAUCAUGUGGAAGUCAAUAGAUAGCAAACGCAUGCAGCAACUGCAGAGGAAGCCAACGGACCAAGAAAUCUAACUAGAAGCUGUCAAAGUGUACACUAUAAUCUUGGGUAAGUCAGCUACUUUAUGCUAUUUAAAUUUGUGCUUAUAAUGAGAGUUA
Drosophila sulfurigaster albostrigata is the source of this 501-nucleotide long non-coding RNA. RefSeq lists it as uncharacterized. The transcript has 3 exons. The record is from RefSeq and is a predicted model, not a curated record. Lineage: Eukaryota; Metazoa; Arthropoda; Insecta; Diptera; Drosophilidae.